Molecule: transfer RNA, 82 nt
Filed under: Zygosaccharomyces bailii CLIB 213
Lineage: Eukaryota; Fungi; Ascomycota; Saccharomycetes; Saccharomycetales; Saccharomycetaceae
Description: tRNA-Leu (TAG) (tRNA-Leu-TAG-2-1)
Rfam family: tRNA
About the family: Transfer RNA (tRNA) molecules are approximately 80 nucleotides in length. Their secondary structure includes four short double-helical elements and three loops (D, anti-codon, and T loops). Further hydrogen bonds mediate the characteristic L-shaped molecular structure. tRNAs have two regions of fundamental functional importance: the anti-codon, which is responsible for specific mRNA codon recognition, and the 3' end, to which the tRNAs corresponding amino acid is attached (by aminoacyl-tRNA synthetases). tRNAs cope with the degeneracy of the genetic code in two manners: having more than one tRNA (with a specific anti-codon) for a particular amino acid; and 'wobble' base-pairing, i.e. permitting non-standard base-pairing at the 3rd anti-codon position.
Source: RNAcentral
ANGAGUUUGGCCGAGUGGUUUAAGGCGUCAGAUUUAGGNUCUGAUAUCUACGGAUGCAAGGGUUCGAAUCCCUUAGCUCUCA